Molecule: ribosomal RNA, 1421 nt
Filed under: Staphylococcus aureus
Lineage: Bacteria; Bacillati; Bacillota; Bacilli; Caryophanales; Staphylococcaceae
Description: partial 23S ribosomal RNA
Rfam family: Bacterial large subunit ribosomal RNA
Source: RNAcentral
UAAGGGCGCACGGUGGAUGCCUUGGCACUAGAAGCCGAUGAAGGACGUUACUAACGACGAUAUGCUUUGGGGAGCUGUAAGUAAGCUUUGAUCCAGAGAUUUCCGAAUGGGGAAACCCAGCAUGAGUUAUGUCAUGUUAUCGAUAUGUGAAUACAUAGCAUAUCAGAAGGCACACCCGGAGAACUGAAACAUCUUAGUACCCGGAGGAAGAGAAAGAAAAUUCGAUUCCCUUAGUAGCGGCGAGCGAAACGGGAAGAGCCCAAACCAACAAGCUUGCUUGUUGGGGUUGUAGGACACUCUAUACGGAGUUACAAAGGACGACAUUAGACGAAUCAUCUGGAAAGAUGAAUCAAAGAAGGUAAUAAUCCUGUAGUCGAAAAUGUUGUCUCUCUUGAGUGGAUCCUGAGUACGACGGAGCACGUGAAAUUCCGUCGGAAUCUGGGAGGACCAUCUCCUAAGGCUAAAUACUCUCUAGUGACCGAUAGUGAACCAGUACCGUGAGGGAAAGGUGAAAAGCACCCCGGAAGGGGAGUGAAAUAGAACCUGAAACCGUGUGCUUACAAGUAGUCAGAGCCCGUUAAUGGGUGAUGGCGUGCCUUUUGUAGAAUGAACCGGCGAGUUACGAUUUGAUGCAAGGUUAAGCAGUAAAUGUGGAGCCGUAGCGAAAGCGAGUCUGAAUAGGGCGUUUAGUAUUUGGUCGUAGACCCGAAACCAGGUGAUCUACCCUUGGUCAGGUUGAAGUUCAGGUAACACUGAAUGGAGGACCGAACCGACUUACGUUGAAAAGUGAGCGGAUGAACUGAGGGUAGCGGAGAAAUUCCAAUCGAACCUGGAGAUAGCUGGUUCUCUCCGAAAUAGCUUUAGGGCUAGCCUCAAGUGAUGAUUAUUGGAGGUAGAGCACUGUUUGGACGAGGGGCCCCUCUCGGGUUACCGAAUUCAGACAAACUCCGAAUGCCAAUUAAUUUAACUUGGGAGUCAGAACAUGGGUGAUAAGGUCCGUGUUCGAAAGGGAAACAGCCCAGACCACCAGCUAAGGUCCCAAAAUAUAUGUUAAGUGGAAAAGGAUGUGGCGUUGCCCAGACAACUAGGAUGUUGGCUUAGAAGCAGCCAUCAUUUAAAGAGUGCGUAAUAGCUCACUAGUCGAGUGACACUGCGCCGAAAAUGUACCGGGGCUAAACAUAUUACCGAAGCUGUGGAUUGUCCUUUGGACAAUGGUAGGAGAGCGUUCUAAGGGCGUUGAAGCAUGAUCGUAAGGACAUGUGGAGCGCUUAGAAGUGAGAAUGCCGGUGUGAGUAGCGAAAGACGGGUGAGAAUCCCGUCCACCGAUUGACUAAGGUUUCCAGAGGAAGGCUCGUCCGCUCUGGGUUAGUCGGGUCCUAAGCUGAGGCCGACAGGCGUAGGCGAUGGAUAACAGGUUGAUA